RNAcentral lists this ribosomal RNA (424 nucleotides) under Verrucomicrobiota bacterium. RNAcentral describes it as "Verrucomicrobia bacterium partial 16S ribosomal RNA". It matches the Rfam family "Bacterial small subunit ribosomal RNA", at positions 355 to 776 of the family's 1533-position model. The record is from RNAcentral. Lineage: Bacteria; Pseudomonadati; Verrucomicrobiota.
UGAGGAAUAUUGGUCAAUGGACGCAAGUCUGAACCAGCCAAGUAGCGUGCAGGAUGACGGCCCUAUGGUUUGUAAACUGCUUUUAUUAGGGGAUAAAGUGGGGAACGUGUUCCCUUUUGCAGGUACCAUAUGAAUAAGGACCGGCUAAUUCCGUGCCAGCAGCCGCGGUAAUACGGAAGGUUCGGGCGUUAUCCGGAUUUAUUGGGUUUAAAGGGAGCGUAGGCCGUUUGGUAAGCGUGUUGUGAAAUGUAGGAGCUCAACUUCUAGAUUGCAGCGCGAACUGUCAGACUUGAGUGCGCACAACGUAGGCGGAAUUCAUGGUGUAGCGGUGAAAUGCUUAGAUAUCAUGAAGAACGCCGAUUGCGAAGGCAGCUUACGGGAGCGCAACUGACGCUGAAGCUCGAAGGUGCGGGUAUCGAACAGG